RNAcentral lists this unclassified non-coding RNA (240 nucleotides) under Hevea brasiliensis (rubber tree). The record is from RNAcentral. Lineage: Eukaryota; Viridiplantae; Streptophyta; Magnoliopsida; Malpighiales; Euphorbiaceae.
AGAUCUUGUAGGUUUCAACCGCCUUCUUAGAUCUCUUCUUCUUUUUGUCUCCGGCAGCUGCACUGCUAUCCUUUGGUAGCUUCUUACCGGCCUUUGGCUUCUUCUCUGCCGGAGAUUUCUCCGCUAAGGGAGUUUUUUCAGCUGCUGGCUUCUUCUCGGCGGGCUUUUUCUCAGCUUUUGGUGCCAUUGUAAGGAAGAAGAAAGGGGAACUUUACAGAUGCUUUGAAUGGAAUUUGGGAU